Molecule: ribosomal RNA, 253 nt
Filed under: uncultured bacterium
Lineage: Bacteria
Description: partial 16S ribosomal RNA
Rfam family: Bacterial small subunit ribosomal RNA
Source: RNAcentral
UACGAAUGGGGCAAGCGUUGUUCGGAAUCACUGGGCUUAAAGCGUGCGCAGGCGGUUUUGCAAGUCAGAAGUGAAAGCCCAGGGCUUAACCCUGGAAUUGCUUUUGAAACUGCAAAACUAGAAUAUGGGAGAGGUUAGCAGAAUUCCGGGUGUAGAGGUGAAAUUCGCAGAUAUUCGGAGGAAUACCAGUGGCGAAGGCGGCUAACUGGCCCAUUAUUGACGCUCAGGCACGAAAGCGUGGGGAGCAAACAGG